RNAcentral lists this ribosomal RNA (799 nucleotides) under uncultured bacterium. RNAcentral's name for it is "bacterial SSU rRNA". It matches the Rfam family "Bacterial small subunit ribosomal RNA", at positions 1 to 809 of the family's 1533-position model. The record is from RNAcentral.
AAUUCGAUUGAGUUUGAUCAUGGCUCAGGACGAACGCUGGCGGCGUGCUUAACACAUGCAAGUCAAGGGGGCCCAGCAAUGGGCAACCGGCGAACGGGUGCGUAACACGUGAGCAACCUACCGAACUGUGGGGGAUAGCCGGCCUAACGGCCGAGUAAUACCGCAUACGCUUUCAGUGAGGCAUUUCAUUGAAAGGAAACCUACGGGACAGAUCGAGGGGCUCGCGGCCUAUCAGCUAGUUGGCGAGGUAACGGCUCACCAAGGCAACGACGGGUAGCUGGUCUGAGAGGAUGGCCAGCCACAUUGGGACUGAGAUACGGCCCAGACUCCUACGGGAGGCAGCAGUGGGGAAUCUUGCGCAAUGGCCUAACGGCUGACGCAGCGACGCCGCGUGUGGGAUGAAGCUCUUCGGAGUGUAAACCACUGUUGCCCGGGACGAACAGCUCGAUUAGUCGAGCCUGACGGUACCGGGUGAGGAAGCACCGGCUAACUCCGUGCCAGCAGCCGCGGUAAUACGGGGGGUGCGAGCGUUGUCCGGAAUCACUGGGCGUAAAGGGCGCGUAGGUGGUUUGAUAAGGGUGUGGUGAAAGUCCGGGGCUCAACCCCGGAUCUGCCGUGCCGACUGUCAAACUCGAGGACUGUAGAGGCAGACGGAAUUCCGGGUGUAGCGGUGGAAUGCGUAGAGAUCCGGAGGAAGANCGGUGGCGAAGGCGGUCUGCUGGGCAGUUUCUGACACUGAGGCGCGACAGCGUGGGGAGCAAACAGGAUUAGAUACCCUGGUAGUCCACGCCGUAAACGA